CAAAUACGUCUAUAACAACACUCCCCUCCUGGAGAAAGAGUUUGUCCUCAAGCUCAACAAUAGGAUAAGACUAUGAAUCGUUCAUAGUCCUUUUCCCCGUUGCUUCCUCUAAAUCAUCCAUCUCCAACCAAAAUAAUUUCUUACAAUGAUGCUCGGAGGAAUAUGAUUUGUUACAAUUAUAGUAAAACCUUUUUGCUCUUUGCUCAGCCAUCUCUGGACU
This 220-nucleotide unclassified non-coding RNA is filed under the name Hevea brasiliensis (rubber tree). The record is from RNAcentral. Lineage: Eukaryota; Viridiplantae; Streptophyta; Magnoliopsida; Malpighiales; Euphorbiaceae.